Molecule: ribosomal RNA, 404 nt
Filed under: Actinomycetes bacterium
Lineage: Bacteria; Bacillati; Actinomycetota; Actinomycetes
Description: Actinobacteria bacterium partial 16S ribosomal RNA
Rfam family: Bacterial small subunit ribosomal RNA
Source: RNAcentral
UGGGGAAUAUUUGACAAUGGGCGCAAGCCUGAUCCAGCCAUGCCGCGUGAGUGAUGAAGGCCCUAGGGUUGUAAAGCUCUUUCACCGGUGAAGAUAAUGACGGUAACCGGAGAAGAAGCCCCGGCUAACUUCGUGCCAGCAGCCGCGGUAAUACGAAGGGGGCUAGCGUUGUUCGGAUUUACUGGGCGUAAAGCGCACGUAGGCGGACUAUUAAGUCAGGGGUGAAAUCCCGGGGCUAAACCCCGGAACUGCCUUUGAUACUGGUAGUCUUGAGUUCGAGAGAGGUGAGGGGAAUUCCGAGUGUAGAGGUGAAAUUCGUAGAUAUUCGGAGGAACACCAGUGGCGAAGGCGGCUCACUGGCUCGAUACUGACGCUGAGGUGCGAAAGCGUGGGGAGCAAACAGG